Molecule: ribosomal RNA, 433 nt
Filed under: uncultured bacterium
Lineage: Bacteria
Description: partial 16S ribosomal RNA
Rfam family: Bacterial small subunit ribosomal RNA
Source: RNAcentral
AACGAACGCUGGCGGCAUGCCUAACACAUGCAAGUCGAACGAGACGUUCGGGUCUAGUGGCGCCCGUGUGCGUAACGCGUGGGAAUCUGCCCUUGGGUUCGGACUAACAGUCUGAAACGACUGCUAAUACCGGAUGAUAACGUAAGUCCAAAGAUUUAUCGCCCAAUGAUGAGCCCGCGUAGGAUUAGCUAGUUGGUGAGGUAAAGGCUCACUGAGGAGACGAUCCUUAGCUGGUCUGUGAGGAUGAACAACCUAACUGGGCCUGAGACACGGCCCAGACAGCUAUGGGAGUGAGCAGUGGAUUGUAAUAGACACGGCGCGAAGGUCUAGUCUAGCUAUGCCGCGUGAGUGUUGAAGACGUUAGGGUCGGAUAGCUGUUAUGCCCGGUGUGAUAAUUACAGGACCGGGAGAAUAAGCUCCGGCUAACUCCGUG